ACUCAUAGAGAAUAAUAAUAUAGUUCUACAGAGGCUCCUGGAGAUAUUUUUUGUUUUGUGUCAUGUGAGCAAUGAGUAAUUCGGUAAUCUGGGACAACACUGAUUUUCCACCAUAAAACCUUAAUUGUACUGGAAUUAAAAAGAGACGUGCAUUGAGCUGCAGACAAAAUAAACAAUAGAUCCUGUUUAAUUCGAUGGAUGGGAUUUUCCGAAUUUCUCUCAAGGCUUGAAUAGAAUCUUCAAGUUUCUGGAGUCUUCUCCCCAAGAUGUUAUUGACGUUCGUUCUUCUUUAGUCUUCUAGUCUUUCCACCAAAGAAAAGAGGAAGGACUUAGUUUGUUUUGGACUCUUUAUUGUGAUGCUGUAUCCUGAUUGGUUAUACGCUGUUGCUGUGUGAUUAUUUUUUCUUCCUUUCAGUUUUCUUUGCUGUUAUUUUGGUGUCAGUAAAGAAUUAUGCAAAA
This is a long non-coding RNA of Bombina bombina (fire-bellied toad), 459 nucleotides long. RefSeq lists it as uncharacterized. The record is from RefSeq and is a predicted model, not a curated record. The transcript is spliced from 2 exons. NCBI's taxonomy places the organism in Eukaryota, Metazoa, Chordata, Amphibia, Anura, Bombinatoridae.